Elaeis guineensis (African oil palm) is the source of this 1932-nucleotide non-coding RNA. Lineage: Eukaryota; Viridiplantae; Streptophyta; Magnoliopsida; Arecales; Arecaceae. The record is from RefSeq and is a predicted model, not a curated record.
UUUUUUUCCCCGGUCGGAAUUUAUGCCUUCUUGUUCCUUCCAUGUUUCUGUUGACCCAUCUAUUUUAUUUUCCCCUCAAAGUUAUUACUACCGCGGUUCUCUUGCGCCAUCUCUUUUCAAACUAUAAGAUCUUCCAUUAGGAUUUAAAUUUUCUCAAUGGAACAAGGAAGUCGCCAAGAACUGCCCCCGCCUGCCCCUUUCUACCGCUCCAUCUUCUCCGAGAUAGAGGAGGUUGGAUGGGAGCAUCUUGUUAGAUCGGAGGAAGACCUAUCCUCUCUCAGCUUUCGCAUUUUAGAUAAGAACGGGCGGGCACAUAUUCUCGAGAUAGCUUUGCCUCGAAACUAUCCUGAAAGUGCUCCUUCAAUUGCUGCGGAUGUACCUUAUAUCUGUGAUAUAGAGUGGUCAAAGAGCUCAAAAUUGAAGAAUAUUGUACAACAAUUCAGAGAGCAUUUGCAGAAGUUGCAGGAGUUUUGGUCUAUCAUGGAAGAUAUUGACAGAAAUCUGUGGAUUCUAGAUCCAAAACAGCCAUCUCUUGCCACAUCCUAUCGACAGAUUUGCCUCGGUAAUGACUGCUCUCUCUUGUUAAAUGUAUAUGCUCGCAAUGCAUGGUCUUUACCAGAGUGCCGUUUUUUCGGUCCAGAUUCAACUGUAAAUCUACUGAGAAACAACUGGAGGAAAAACAGCAGGAAAUGGACUAAGGAUAAACAUUUCCAUGAAAAUCUGGCUAUUCUUCUGGAGACUACAUUACCUAGACCUCACACUGUUAGCAAUAAAAAUGAUGAGCAAGUUGAUUGUGGAAUUUGUUAUGCUCAAUACCUGCCUGUUGGUAAGUUUGAUUGCCUCAUAGAAUAUCCAUUAAGUAGCUUGCCAAAUUAUGUGCUGAUUAACUUUAAUGUUCUUCAAGAUGACGAGUUUGGAGAUAAUAGUGGAAGUGCACCAGACUAUACUUGUGAAAAUCUGAGUUGCAGUAGAGCUUUUCAUACAGUGUGCCUCAGGGAUUGGCUGCGUUCAAUUACAACAACAAGGCAGUAUGUUGAAAAGAUUUCCUAAGCUGUGCUUUUUUUCCUGUUCAUUUUAUUGUUGAUGCCUUACUAACCGCUGGUAGCUCACCUGGUCCUUUGAUGUUCUAUUUGGGAACUGCCCUUAUUGUUCUGAACCAGUAGCAGUUAAAGUUAGUAAGUGCAGUUAAUAGAGUGCCAUAAUCUCGUCAUCUAUGAAACAUUAUUUUGGAGAAACACAGCAUAUGAUUACUGUUCUUUUCUUUGGUGGCCUUCAAAAUAUUCCAAAGUGGAAGUAUCUGAGCUUUAUCUUCUGGCAUGUCCAAUGUCUUGGUAUAUUAGUAGAAUUUUCUUUAUAUACGUAAAAGAUUAAAUAGACAAACUUUUUGAAGCAAUUAAUUGUGGAGUUCUUUAAACUUUGAGAAAGGACCUAUCUUGGUGUUUGAAGCUGGUCUUUUGGGAAAAUUUGACAGAAAUCACAGUAUGUUCUUUUUUUUUUUUUUUUUUUCUUUUUUUCUUUUGCCCUUUCGCACCAUUCGACGGUUUUCUCCGAUGCCAUCCCUUAGAUGCUAUAUAUUCUCAUAUCCAAUUCAUCUUCACAAUUUAGUCUUGAAGCAAUUGUUCUGUGCUCAGUUGACUUGGCCUUAGCUUAGGCAUGGUCAUCUAUUAAGCUGCGCCUAAGAUCUGCCUGAAUGAGCCAACGGUCUACUUGCAUCAGUGCUUGCAAUUAUCUUUGCAAGCUAGUAGGUAUUAGGAUUUGGCUCAUUUUAUAUGCUGUGAGCUUCAAAAUAUGUGUGGGAAUUAGUUUACUCUUCUGAUUGGUUUAAGCUUUGGAUAAGGUAAUUAUUGAGCUAAGCACUGGUUGUUGACAACAGCUUGUAAUGCAUACUGUGAAGGCAUACUUGCUCAUUCUAAUGCAUGUUUUUGCUUUGUA